Molecule: ribosomal RNA, 212 nt
Filed under: uncultured bacterium
Lineage: Bacteria
Description: partial 16S ribosomal RNA
Rfam family: Bacterial small subunit ribosomal RNA
Source: RNAcentral
UACGUAGGCAGCGAGCGUUGUUCGGAAUUACUGGGCGUAAAGAGUGUGUAGGCGGUGCUCUAAGUUCGGUGUGAAAUCUCCUGGCUCAACUGGGAGGGUGCGCCGGAAACUGGAGUGCUUGAGCGUGGGAGAGGAAAGCGGAAUUCACGGUGGAGCAGUGAAAUGCGUGGAUAUCGUGAGGAACACUAGUGGCGAAGGCGGAUGUCUGGACA